ACGGGUAAUGACCUUAGACGGCGAGUGAAGCGGCAAAAGCUCAAAUUUGAAAUCUGGCGUCUUCGACGUCCGAGUUGUAAUUUGAAGAAGGCGACUUUGUAGCUGGUCCUUGUCUAUGUUCCUUGGAACAGGACGUCAUAGAGGGUGAGAAUCCCGUGUGGCGAGGAUCCCAGUUAUUUGUAAAGUGCUUUCGACGAGUCGAGUUGUUUGGGAAUGCAGCUCUAAGUGGGUGGUAAAUUCCAUCUAAAGCUAAAUAUUGGCGAGAGACCGAUAGCGAACAAGUACAGUGAUGGAAAGAUGAAAAGAACUUUGAAAAGAGAGUGAAAAAGUACGUGAAAUUGUUGAAAGGGAAGGGCAUUUGAUCAGACAUGGCGUUUGCUUCGGCUUUCGCUGGGCCAGCAUCAGUUUUAGCGGUUGGAUAAAUCCUCGGGAAUGUGGCUCUGCUUCGGUAGAGUGUUAUAGCCCGUGGGAAUACAGCCAGCUGGGACUGAGGAUUGCGACUUUUGUCAAGGAUGCUGGCGUAAUGGUUAAAUGCCGCCCGUCUUAAAAACCCGGGGACCAAACCA
Molecule: ribosomal RNA, 566 nt
Filed under: Kluyveromyces marxianus
Lineage: Eukaryota; Fungi; Ascomycota; Saccharomycetes; Saccharomycetales; Saccharomycetaceae
Description: partial large subunit ribosomal RNA
Rfam family: Eukaryotic large subunit ribosomal RNA
Source: RNAcentral